Molecule: non-coding RNA, 31 nt
Filed under: Homo sapiens (human)
Lineage: Eukaryota; Metazoa; Chordata; Mammalia; Primates; Hominidae
Source: RNAcentral
UACUCCAGGUAAAACUGUAGGCUUUACUCAA